CCCUUAGAUGUUCUGGGCCGCACCCGCGCUACACUGAAGGAGGCAGCGUGUACUCCUGGAUCGAAAGAUUUGGGUAACCCGCGAAUCUCCUUCGUGCUAGGGAUUGAGGUUUGCAAUUAUCCUUCAUGAACGAGGAAUUCCCAGUAAGUGCAAGUCAUAAGCUUGCGCUGACUACGUCCCUGCCCUUUGUACACACCGCCCGUCGCUACUACCGAUUGAAUGAUUUAGUGAGGACUUCGGACUGGGACCGAUGCGGCUUUCGGGCUGCGUCGGUAUUCUGGAAAGAUGUCCAAACUGUAUCAUUCAGAGGAAGUAAAAGUCGUANCA
This 327-nucleotide ribosomal RNA is filed under the name uncultured eukaryote. RNAcentral's name for it is "partial 18S ribosomal RNA". It matches the Rfam family "Eukaryotic small subunit ribosomal RNA", at positions 1470 to 1796 of the family's 1831-position model. The record is from RNAcentral.